This 254-nucleotide ribosomal RNA is filed under the name uncultured bacterium. RNAcentral's name for it is "partial 16S ribosomal RNA". It matches the Rfam family "Bacterial small subunit ribosomal RNA", at positions 524 to 776 of the family's 1533-position model. The record is from RNAcentral.
CACGUAGGGGGCAAGCGUUGUCCGGAUUUAUUGGGCGUAAAGAGCUCGUAGGCGGUUCGGUAAGUCGGGUGUGAAACCUCCAGGCUCAACCUGGAGACGCCACCUGAUACUGCUGUGACUCGAGUCCGGUAGGGGAGCGUGGAAUUCCUGGUGUAGCGGUGAAAUUCGUAGAUAUUCGGAAGAACACCAGUGGCGAAGGCGGCUCACUGGUCCGGUACUGACGCUGAGGUGCGAAAGCGUGGGGAGCAAACAGG